RNAcentral lists this ribosomal RNA (443 nucleotides) under uncultured bacterium. RNAcentral's name for it is "partial 16S ribosomal RNA". It matches the Rfam family "Bacterial small subunit ribosomal RNA", at positions 338 to 795 of the family's 1533-position model. The record is from RNAcentral.
CCUACGGGUGGCAGCAGUGGGGAAUAUUGCACAAUGGGGGGAACCCUGAUGCAGCAAUGCCGCGUGAAGGAUGAAGGUUUUCGGAUUGUAAACUUCUUUUGUACGGGACGAAGAAAGUGCCGGUACCGUAAGAAUAAGCCACGGCUAACUACGUGCCAGCAGCCGCGUUAAUACGUAGGUGGUAAGCGUUUUCCGGAUUUACUGGGUGGAAAGGGGGAGUAGGCGGGAUUGCAAGUCAGAUGUGAAAACUAUGGGCUCAACCGAUAGAGUGCAUUUGACACUGCAGUUCUUGAGUGAUGGAGAGGCAGGCGGAAUUCCCGGUGUAGCGGUGGAAUGCGUAGAUAUCGGGAGGAACACCAGUGGCGAAGGCAGCCUGCCGCAGCGUUACUGACGCUGAAGCUCGAAAGCGCGGGUAUCGAACAGGAUUAGAUACCCUGGUAGUC